AGAGUUUGAUCAUGGCUCAGAUUGAACGCUGGCGGCAUGCCUUACACAUGCAAGUCGAACGGCAGCACGGGUGCUUGCACCUGGUGGCGAGUGGCGAACGGGUGAGUAACACGUGAGUAACCUGCCCUUGACUCUGGGAUAACCUCCGGAAACGGAAGCUAAUACCGGAUAUGACGUGCGGAGGCAUCUCCUGCACGUGG
RNAcentral lists this ribosomal RNA (200 nucleotides) under uncultured bacterium. RNAcentral's name for it is "partial 16S ribosomal RNA". It matches the Rfam family "Bacterial small subunit ribosomal RNA", at positions 8 to 203 of the family's 1533-position model. The record is from RNAcentral.